Molecule: ribosomal RNA, 520 nt
Filed under: uncultured Paraglomus
Lineage: Eukaryota; Fungi; Glomeromycota; Glomeromycetes; Paraglomerales; Paraglomeraceae
Description: bacterial SSU rRNA
Rfam family: Eukaryotic small subunit ribosomal RNA
Source: RNAcentral
CGCAGCCGCGGUAAUUCCAGCUCCAAUAGCGUAUAUUAAAGUUGUUGCAGUUAAAAAGCUCGUAGUUGAACUUCAGGCCUGUCCAGACGGUCCGCCUUAAUUGGUGUGUACUGUCCUUGGGUGGGUCCUACCUUCUGGCGAAGCGGCAUGGCCUUAAUUGGUUGUGUCGGGGAACCAGGACUUUUUACUGUGAAAAAAUUAGAGUGUUCAAAGCAGGCAAAUAUGCUCGAAUACAUUAGCAUGGAAUAAUGGAAUAGGACGAUGGUUCUAUUUUGUUGGUUCUAGGACCGUUGUAAUGAUUAAUAGGGAUAGUUGGGGGCAUUAGUAUUCAAUUGUCAGAGGUGAAAUUCUUGGAUUUAUUGAAGACUAACUACUGCGAAAGCAUUUGCCAAGGAUGUUUUCAUUAAUCAAGAACGAAAGUUAGGGGAAUCGAAGACGAUCAGAUACCGUCGUAGUCUUAACCAUAAACUAUGCCGACUAGGAAUCGGGCGAUGUUGACAAAAUGACUCGCUCGGCACCU